CUACACACUGUUUACACUGUGACCGUAUCUCCUAAACACUGCUUACCCUGUGACCGUAUCUCCUAAACACUGCUGACACUGUGACCGUAUUUCCUAAACACUGCUCACACUGUGACCGUAUCUCCUAAACACUGCUGACACUGUGACCGUAUCUCCUAAACACUGCUUACACUGUGACCCAAUCGCCUAAACACUGCUUACACUGUGAAUGUUAUUUUUUUUUUUCAAGUUAGUUUUAGUGUUUGCGGUUUCAUUGAUUUGUUAACCACUCUCCUCAAUCUUUUGUUCUGUGUUUUCUUACAUUUGUGGGAAGAACAAGGUGAUCCUCUCAAUUUUACACUCCUUUACUGAUGGUUCCGGUGCCAGAGACAAACCCACCACCAUUAACCUCGACCUGCUUAAACAGAAGAGGUUACCUUCUUCUAUAGAAAACGUCCAUAUGGCUGUUUUGGAACACAUGCUGCAGACAUGAUUUAACCUUCAUUUUCCAGUGAUUAAGAAUCGUGGACUGUCCAGGGAAAGAGACCAUUACAUUAUUAAGAUACUACCUUCCCAAUGUCAUACAGCCUUUCUUUAAAUGUGAUUGAACUUUCUCCUUCUUGGAUACUACAGUGUGACUUUUCUUAACCAGUUUCUAAAUUUGACUUUUAUAUUUUUUCCACUAUACAUAUAAAGUCUAAAUUGCAUAUUAACUUUGAAGAAAUAAAGUAUUUUGCUG
Molecule: long non-coding RNA, 718 nt
Filed under: Pelobates cultripes (western spadefoot toad)
Lineage: Eukaryota; Metazoa; Chordata; Amphibia; Anura; Pelobatidae
Source: RNAcentral